CAGCAGCCGCGGUAAUACGGAGGGGGCUAGCGUUGUUCGGAUUUACUGGGCGUAAAGCGCACGUAGGCGGACUUUUAAGUCAGGGGUGAAGUCCCGGGGCUCAACCCCGGAACUGCCUUUGAUACUGGGAGUCUUGAGUUCGAGAGAGGUGAGUGGAAUUGCGAGUGUAGAGGUGAAAUUCGUAGAUAUUCGCAGGAACACCAGUGGCGAAGGCGGCUCACUGGCUCGAUACUGACGCUGAGGUGCGAAAGCGUGGGAAGCAAACAGGAUUAGAUACCCGAGUAGUCCCUGUCUCUUAUAC
RNAcentral lists this ribosomal RNA (301 nucleotides) under uncultured bacterium. Its description in RNAcentral is "partial 16S ribosomal RNA". It matches the Rfam family "Bacterial small subunit ribosomal RNA", at positions 509 to 807 of the family's 1533-position model. The record is from RNAcentral.